This is a non-coding RNA of Mycena crocata, 92 nucleotides long. The record is from the annotation of a GenBank genome assembly. NCBI's taxonomy places the organism in Eukaryota, Fungi, Basidiomycota, Agaricomycetes, Agaricales, Mycenaceae.
UCGGAUGUCGUGCACGGCGCAUGCCCGCCCCGUGUCAAGAAAAGGCCAACCAUUGGACGCGGGAGCACUGGGUUCGACUCCCAGCGUCCGAA